GGGGGGAGGGGGGGGGGGGAGGGGAGAGAAUUAGACCAACUACAGGAUUGGAACAGAAACAAUCGUGGAACAUAUUCUGGUCUGGUUUCAUAAUAAUGGACAGUUAGUCAGACAACUUGUCCUUAUGCUGAAACAGCCACAUGAGGGGGUCCAUGGAGAGUCAAGAUCAGCGGUUGCCUUCUCCGUCCCGGGGUCACCAUCAGAAACACGUUAGGACAACCGAAACCUAGAUUUUGUUGUACAUAAAAUAUCUUGGUGGUACUGUUCCCACCAGGUUACUGUUCCCACCAGGUUACUGUUCCCACUAUGUUACUGUUCCCACCAGGUUACUGUUCCCACCAGGUUACUGUUCCCACCAGGUUACUGUUCCCACCAGGUUACUGUUCCCACUAUGUUACUGUUCCCACCAGGUUACUGUUCCCACCAUGUUACUGUUCUCACCAGGUUACUGUUCCCACUAUGUUACUGUUCCCACUGUGUUACUGUUCCCACUAUGUUACUUUUCCCACCAGGUUACUGUUCCCACUAUGUUACUGUUCCCACCAGGUUACUGUUCCCACUAUGUUACUGUUCUCACCAGAUUACUGUUCCCACUAUGUUACUGUUCCCACCAGGUUACUGUUCCCACUAUGUUACUGUUCCCACCAGGUUACUGUUCCCACUAUGUUACUGUUCCCACUAUGUUACUGUUCCCACCAGGUUACUGUUCCCACCAGGUUACUGUUCCCACCAGGUUACUGUUCCCACCAGGUUACUGU
Oncorhynchus tshawytscha (Chinook salmon) is the source of this 758-nucleotide long non-coding RNA. The record is from Ensembl. Lineage: Eukaryota; Metazoa; Chordata; Actinopteri; Salmoniformes; Salmonidae.